This 281-nucleotide unclassified non-coding RNA is filed under the name plant metagenome. Its description in RNAcentral is "partial contains small subunit ribosomal RNA and internal transcribed spacer 1". The stretch from base 1 to 46 matches the Rfam family "Eukaryotic small subunit ribosomal RNA", at positions 1786 to 1831 of the family's 1831-position model. The record is from RNAcentral.
AAGUCGUAACAAGGUUUCCGUAGGUGAACCUGCGGAAGGAUCAUUAUUGAAUAAACCUGAUGUGGUUGUAGCUGGCCCUUUCGAGGGUAUGUGCACACCCGUCAUCUUUAUCUUUCCACCUGUGCACCUUCUGUAGACCUGGAUGUAACACUUUCCGAGGCAACUCGGUCGGGAGGAAUGCUGUCAGCUUUCCUUGAAUGUCCAGGCCUAUGUUUUUCACAUACCCCCAAAGAACGUAACAGAAUGUAUUAUUGGGCCUUGUGCCUAUAAACUAUAUACAA